GAUGAACGCUGGCGGCGCGCUUAACACAUGCAAGUCGAACGGAAAGGCCCAAGCUUGCUUGGGUACUCGAGUGGCGAACGGGUGAGUAACACGUGGGUGAUCUGCCCUGCACUUCGGGAUAAGCCUGGGAAACUGGGUCUAAUACCGGAUAGGACCACAUUUUGGAUGGUGUGGUGGAAAGUUUUUCGGUGUGGGAUGAGCUCGCGGCCUAUCAGCUUGUUGGUGGGGUAAUGGCCUACCAAGGCGUCGACGGGUAGCCGGCCUGAGAGGGUGUACGGCCACAUUGGGACUGAGAUACGGCCCAGACUCCUACGGGAGGCAGCAGUGGGGAAUAUUGCACAAUGGGCGCAAGCCUGAUGCAGCGACGCCGCGUGGGGGAUGACGGCCUUCGGGUUGUAAACUCCUUUCGCUAGGGACGAAGCGCAAGUGACGGUACCUGGAGAAGAAGCACCGGCUAACUACGUG
RNAcentral lists this ribosomal RNA (465 nucleotides) under uncultured bacterium. Its description in RNAcentral is "partial 16S ribosomal RNA". It matches the Rfam family "Bacterial small subunit ribosomal RNA", at positions 28 to 507 of the family's 1533-position model. The record is from RNAcentral.